Molecule: ribosomal RNA, 549 nt
Filed under: uncultured bacterium
Lineage: Bacteria
Description: bacterial SSU rRNA
Rfam family: Bacterial small subunit ribosomal RNA
Source: RNAcentral
UGGGGAAUAUUGGACAAUGGGCGAAAGCCUGAUCCAGCCAUGCCGCGUGUGUGAAGAAGGCCUUUUGGUUGUAAAGCACUUUAAGUGGGGAGGAAAAGCUUAUGGUUAAUACCCAUAAGCCCUGACGUUACCCACAGGAUAAGCACCGGCUAACUCUGUGCCAGCAGCCGCGGUAAUACAGAGGGUGCAAGCGUUAAUCGGAAUUACUGGGCGUAAAGCGCGCGUAGGUGGUUAUUUAAGUCAGAUGUGAAAGCCCCGGGCUUAACCUGGGAACUGCAUCUGAUACUGGAUAACUAGAGUAGGUGAGAGGGGAGUAGAAUUCCAGGUGUAGCGGUGAAAUGCGUAGAGAUCUGGAGGAAUACCGAUGGCGAAGGCAGCUCCCUGGCAUCAUACUGACACUGAGGUGCGAAAGCGUGGGUAGCAAACAGGAUUAGAUACCCUGGUAGUCCACGCCGUAAACGAUGUCUACCAGUCGUUGGGUCUUUUAAAGACUUAGUGACGCAGUUAACGCAAUAAGUAGACCGCCUGGGGAGUACGGCCGCAAGGUUA